CAGGGGAUAGUUUAGGUAGAAUCUCAGCUUUGGGAGCUGAGGGUAAGAGUUUGAUUCUCUUUCCCUUGA
Molecule: transfer RNA, 69 nt
Filed under: Heptranchias perlo (sharpnose sevengill shark)
Lineage: Eukaryota; Metazoa; Chordata; Chondrichthyes; Hexanchiformes; Hexanchidae
Description: tRNA-Pro
Rfam family: tRNA
About the family: Transfer RNA (tRNA) molecules are approximately 80 nucleotides in length. Their secondary structure includes four short double-helical elements and three loops (D, anti-codon, and T loops). Further hydrogen bonds mediate the characteristic L-shaped molecular structure. tRNAs have two regions of fundamental functional importance: the anti-codon, which is responsible for specific mRNA codon recognition, and the 3' end, to which the tRNAs corresponding amino acid is attached (by aminoacyl-tRNA synthetases). tRNAs cope with the degeneracy of the genetic code in two manners: having more than one tRNA (with a specific anti-codon) for a particular amino acid; and 'wobble' base-pairing, i.e. permitting non-standard base-pairing at the 3rd anti-codon position.
Source: RNAcentral